Molecule: long non-coding RNA, 1259 nt
Organism: Esox lucius (northern pike)
Lineage: Eukaryota; Metazoa; Chordata; Actinopteri; Esociformes; Esocidae
Source: Ensembl
CACUGUCAUAAAACAGCUUGCAAAGAGCAACGGAUGCUUUUGCUGCUUGCUCUCAGCGUGUCUGCUAAAGACAUCCGUAAGAAUGUGUGUUACACCGGUGAACUGCACAAGGAUUACUUUCAUGAGUAUGUUCCUAGACUUGUUCUAGAUCCGUUUAAACUCAGAAACUGCACACGAGAUCUGCAACGUCCACCCCUGGCACUGUGCAAGAGAUGGACUGAACACAAAUAUCAAUUUGCAUACAAAUGGCUGUUCUACCGCAAUCAGGUAACUUUACCACAAUAUUACCAACUCAGAAAGGUACACUUCACAUAUCCUCAGGUGUCAUAACAAAUCCAUGAGACCCAUUAUAACUUAUUAGUUACAGUAUAUUAUAUAGCAUUUUUGUGUGGGUCUUAGACUUUUCUCACUAACAUAGGAUCUUUGAUAAUAUGUAUGUAUCAGAUAGGGUCGGCUGCAAUGUAUUUUUCAAAUACACUUUUUUGUCACAGGAUGACCACAGAAUGUCUUGUCAGAACAUUUCGCCAUUCUGACAGUUCAAAGCUUUACUUUUGAUGCCAUUAGCUAGCUACAGUUCAUCAUAAGUGCCUGCUCUAACUUCUUCAAUAGUACUCCAAGGAACCUACCUCAUCCAUCACAAUCCAUGCCAGCCCUAGAGAUGAUUUGUACUGGACACAUUCAGCGGACAUUGAACUGGUAUGAAUACCUCGGCUCAGUUAACUCUCACUUUAGUUUUUACAGUUGUUUUAUACGGUUGGCUUAUAUGCAAUGGAUUUCAUUGGGUAUGUCCAACUGUGCAAAUGUGUGAGAACAGCAGCAACUGUCCUCAAUGCAACUCCUAUGAUAGCACUACAACCAGCAUCUAGUUAAGUGGAUGACAUAUUCACUUAAAGACUUAUAAACUACAGGAACAUGAAGAUGUCUACUUGAAAACGGCAACUGUUCUCUAAUGAAGCUUGUACUCUGAUUCAAUGUCUGUUUUAAGUAUUUAAACCUUUUUUUUUAUUUAUUUUCACUGCUUUUUCUAAGCUAUGCAUGACAUUAUAUUAUUGGCUUUUUGUCACCCAUAUGCGGGUUGUGGUUAGGCCUUGAUAAAAGCAAACUACCAUUUUAUACAAAUAAUUUGUUUUAUUUUUGUUAUUUUGUACUUUUGGACAUAAAACAUUUUAGAUACUUUUUUUGUUGCAAUUUUAAAUAAUUAUGUAUUGCAGUCAUUUAUUAAGCAUAUUGUUGAAUAAAAUUAAAAACAACAAACCCUA